CUCAAUGGAGAAUAAUCUACAAGAGAUUCAAGAGAAGUUAAACUCUAUUCAAGAGCAACUCCUGAAGCUGCAGGAGCGGAUGAAUCAAACGGACAGUUUGAUAUUUCUGAAGGAGGAAACUCGUCAGAAGAGGAGGGUGGGUGAUGAAGAACAGACGCUGUCGGUAGCAGACGGUGCCUUGGCAAUUGGAAAGUUCAAUCACCCAUUUUUGUUGAACACGGUGUUCAGCAAAGUGACCGGUGGCAUUAAGAGAGGUAAAAACGUUUUUGUUUUAAACCGUUAGAGUACUUGAUGUAUUAAUUACAUGUACAGUGUAUAUUUAAUACUGGACUGGGCGCUUCAACUUCCUGUGGUUCCAGGCUUGGAUUACUUGCGCCUCUCUUUACGGAUACUUUUCAGAAUUGCAAGCAGCGAUGCACAAUGGGGUGCCGCAAGGCUCGGUGCUGGCACGCCAGUUAUUUACAAUAUAUAUAUUAACGAUUUAGAACAAGGAAUUAAAUGUAACACCUCCAGGUUUGCAGAUGUUGCCAAGCUGGGUGGCAAUGUGAGCUGCGAGGAGGAUGCUAUGAGGCUGAAGGGUGACUUGGAAUGGUUGGGUGAAAGGGCAGAAGUCAAUAUUCAUACCGCUGGACAUGGCAGUUCCCUGAA
Amblyraja radiata (thorny skate) is the source of this 648-nucleotide long non-coding RNA. RefSeq lists it as uncharacterized. The transcript is spliced from 3 exons. NCBI's taxonomy places the organism in Eukaryota, Metazoa, Chordata, Chondrichthyes, Rajiformes, Rajidae. The record is from RefSeq and is a predicted model, not a curated record.